Molecule: ribosomal RNA, 546 nt
Filed under: Arthrobacter sp.
Lineage: Bacteria; Bacillati; Actinomycetota; Actinomycetes; Micrococcales; Micrococcaceae
Description: bacterial SSU rRNA
Rfam family: Bacterial small subunit ribosomal RNA
Source: RNAcentral
CGGGUCUAAUACUGGAUACGACCUCCGGCCGCAUGGUCUGGGGGUGGAAAGCUUUUUGUGGUUUUGGAUGGACUCGCGGCCUAUCAGCUUGUUGGUGGGGUAAUGGCCUACCAAGGCGACGACGGGUAGCCGGCCUGAGAGGGUGACCGGCCACACUGGGACUGAGACACGGCCCACACUCCUACGGGAGGCAGCAGUGGGGAAUAUUGCACAAUGGGCGCAAGCCUGAUGCAGCGACGCCGCGUGAGGGAUGAAGGCCUUCGGGUUGUAAACCUCUUUCAGUACGGAAGAAGCGAAAGUGACGGUACCUGCAGAAGAAGCGCCGGCUAACUACGUGCCAGCAGCCGCGGUAAUACGUAGGGCGCAAGCGUUAUCCGGAAUUAUUGGGCGUAAAGAGCUCGUAGGCGGUUUGUCGCGUCUGCCGUGAAAGUCCGGGGCUUAACUCCGGAUCUGCGGUGGGUACGGGCAGACUAGAGUGCAGUAGGGGAGACUGGAAUUCCUGGUGUAGCGGUGAAAUGCGCAGAUAUCAGGAGGAACACCGAUGGC